UACAGAGGGGGCAAGCGUUAUUCGGAAUUAUUGGGCGUAAAGGGCGCGUAGGCGGCGAUUCAAGUGACGGGUGAAAUCCCUCGGCUUAACCGAGGAACUGCCUGUCAGACUGGAUUGCUUGAGGCCGGGAGAGGCGAGUGGAAUUCCCAGUGUAGCGGUGAAAUGCGUAGAUAUUGGGAGGAACACCAGUGGCGAAGGCGACUACCUGGCCUGUUCUUGACGCUGAGGCGCGAAAGCUAGGGGAGCAAACGGG
This 253-nucleotide ribosomal RNA is filed under the name uncultured bacterium. RNAcentral's name for it is "partial 16S ribosomal RNA". It matches the Rfam family "Bacterial small subunit ribosomal RNA", at positions 524 to 776 of the family's 1533-position model. The record is from RNAcentral.